Molecule: non-coding RNA, 518 nt
Organism: Camellia sinensis
Lineage: Eukaryota; Viridiplantae; Streptophyta; Magnoliopsida; Ericales; Theaceae
Source: RefSeq, a predicted model, not a curated record
AAAGAUGAUCAUCAACUAUUAAUUUAGCUAGCAAAGCUUGUUUUAACAGUACUCAACAAUGGCAAGUAGCUCCACAAGAAUUGUUAUGGUGAGCCUUAUGAUCAUCUUCGCCGUGGUGUCAUCUCCGUUGAUGUUAGAAUUAGAAGCUGCUCGAAUCCCUCAUCGCGAACUUGAAGGGCCAAUAUGCCCAGCAUGUGUAUGUUGUGAACCUCCACCGCCAAACUCAUGUUGUCCUUGCUGUUCUACUCCUAUUUCGACUUCUGGAAACGAAACCCCAUAGAAUACAAGAAGAAGAAACACCCUAAUUCUCAAAUUUCAGGCAUUUCUUCACAAAACUAAAUUAUAAGUAUAAAUAAAUAUGGAUUGUUUGUUGUAAAAACAAUGCCAGUCUAUUGCCUGAAAUUGGAACUCUUGGGGGGGGAGAAAUUGUAAUAGUUUGUUUGUUUGUUUGUUUUUGUUUUUUUGAUAUCGUCUGGAAUGCCUGAUAUAUUAUAAUGAAAUGAUGCAGUUUACAUGGA